AGAGUUUGAUCAUGGCUCAGAUUGAACGCUGGCGGCAGGCUUAACACAUGCAAGUCGAACGGUAACAGAACUAGCUUGCUAGUUGCUGACGAGUGGCGGACGGGUGAGUAACGCGUAGGAAUCUACCGAAUAGUGGGGGACAACAGUUGGAAACGGCUGCUAAUACCGCAUACGCCCUACGGGGGAAAGGAGGGGAUCUUCGGACCUUUCGCUAUUUGAUGAGCCUGCGUGAGAUUAGUUAGUUGGUGGGGUAAUGGCUCACCAAGGCGACGAUCUCUAGCUGGUCUGAGAGGAUGAUCAGCCACACUGGGACUGAGACACGGCCCAGACUCCUACGGGAGGCAGCAGUGGGGAAUAUUGCACAAUGGGGGAAACCCUGAUGCAGCCAUGCCGCGUGUGUGAAGAAGGCCUUCGGGUUGUAAAGCACUUUCAGUUGUGAGGAAAGGUUAAGGGUUAA
Molecule: ribosomal RNA, 457 nt
Filed under: uncultured marine bacterium
Lineage: Bacteria
Description: bacterial SSU rRNA
Rfam family: Bacterial small subunit ribosomal RNA
Source: RNAcentral